Molecule: ribosomal RNA, 934 nt
Filed under: uncultured archaeon
Lineage: Archaea
Description: bacterial SSU rRNA
Rfam family: Archaeal small subunit ribosomal RNA
Source: RNAcentral
UCCGGUUGAUCCUGCCGGACCUGACUGCUAUCGGGAUGAGGCUAAGCCAUGGAAGUCGACGUGCGCCCUUGCGCACGUGGCGUACGGCUCAGUAACGCGUGGCUAACCUACCCUCGUGACGGGGAUAACCUCGGGAAACUGAGGAUAGUCCCCGAUAGGCGAGUGGCUUUGGAAGAACCGCUCACCGAAAAGGACGGAGGGAAUGGCCUUCGUCCGCGCGAGGAUGGGGCUGCGUCCCAUCAGGCAGUUGGUGGGGUAAUGGCCCACCAAACCUAUAACGGGUACGGGCCGUGAGAGCGGGAGCCCGGAGAUGGGCACUGAGACAAGGGCCCAGGCUCUACGGAGCGCACCAAGCGCGAAACCUUCGCAAUGCGGGAAACCGUGACGGGGCCAUCCCGAGUGCAGGCUGCUGAGGUCUGCUUUUGCCCAGUGUAAGAAGCUGGGCGAAUAAGUGGGGGGCAAGACUGAUGUCAGCCGCCGCGGUAAUACCAGCUCCACGAGUGGUCAGGACGGUUAUUGGGCCUAAAGCGUCCGUAGCCGGCCCGGUAAGUUUAUGGUGAAAUCCGGCAUCUCAAGUGUCGGAGCGCUGUAAAUACUGCCGGGCUAGGGAGCGGGAGAGGCCGAGGGUACCUCCGGGGUAGGGGCGAAAUCCUAUAAUCCCGGAGUGACGACCAGUGGCGAAAGCGCUCGGCUAGAACGCGUCCGACGGUGAGGGACGAAAGCUGGGGUAGCAAACCGGAUUAGAUACCCGGGUAGUCCCAGCCGUAAACUAUGCGGGCUAGUUGUCGGAACGGCUUAGGGCCGCUCCGGUAACGCAGGGAAGCCAUUAAGCCCGCCGCCUGGGGAGUACGACCGCAAGGUUGAAACUUAAAGGAAUUGGCGGGGGAGCACCACAAGGGGUGAAGCUUGCGGCUCAAUUGGAGUCAACGCCGGG